RNAcentral lists this ribosomal RNA (488 nucleotides) under uncultured bacterium. RNAcentral describes it as "bacterial SSU rRNA". It matches the Rfam family "Bacterial small subunit ribosomal RNA", at positions 28 to 507 of the family's 1533-position model. The record is from RNAcentral.
GAUGAACGCUAGCUACAGGCUUAACACAUGCAAGUCGAGGGGCAGCAUGAAGUUUGCUUGCAAACUUUGAUGGCGACCGGCGGAUGGGUGAGUAACGCGUACCCAACCUGCCCCCUUCCCGGGCACAGCCCUUGGAAACGAGGAUUAACGCCCGAUGGCGUCUGGAUGCCGCAUGGCAUUCCGACCAAAUGCGAAGGAAGGGGAUGGGGGGUGCGUCCCAUUAGCUAGUUGGCGGGGUAACGGCCACCAAGGCAUCGAUGGGUAGGGGUUCUGAGAGGAAGGUCCCCCACACUGGAACUGAGACACGGUCCAGACUCCUACGGGAGGCAGCAGUGAGGAAUAUUGGUCAAUGGAGGCAACUCUGAACCAGCCAAGUAGCGUGAGGGAUGACUGCCCUACGGGUUGUAAACCUCUUUUGUCGGGGAAUAAACCGCGCCACGUGUGGCGCCCUGCAUGUACCCGCAGAAUAAGGACCGGCUAAUUCCGUG